Molecule: ribosomal RNA, 223 nt
Filed under: uncultured bacterium
Lineage: Bacteria
Description: partial 16S ribosomal RNA
Rfam family: Bacterial small subunit ribosomal RNA
Source: RNAcentral
UACGAAGGGGGCUAGCGUUGCUCGGAAUUACUGGGCGUAAAGGGCGCGUAGGCGGACAGUUUAGUCAGAGGUGAAAGCCCAGGGCUCAACCUUGGAAUUGCCUUUGAUACUGGCUGUCUUGAGUUCGGGAGAGGUGAGUGGAAUGCCGAGUGAGAGGUGAAAUUCGUAGAUAUUCGGCGGAACACCAGUGGCGAAGGCGACUCACUGGACGACUGUUGCGCUG